RNAcentral lists this ribosomal RNA (253 nucleotides) under uncultured bacterium. Its description in RNAcentral is "partial 16S ribosomal RNA". It matches the Rfam family "Bacterial small subunit ribosomal RNA", at positions 524 to 776 of the family's 1533-position model. The record is from RNAcentral.
UACGUAGGGCGCAAGCGUUGUCCGGAAUUAUUGGGCGUAAAGAGCUCGUAGGCGGUUUGUCGCGUCUGUCGUGAAAGCUUGGGGCUUAACCCCAAGUCUGCGGUGGAUACGGGCAGACUAGAGGCAGGUAGGGGAGAACGGAAUUCCCGGUGUAGCGGUGAAAUGCGCAGAUAUCGGGAGGAACACCGGUGGCGAAGGCGGUUCUCUGGGCCUUACCUGACGCUGAGGAGCGAAAGCGUGGGGAGCGAACAGG